RNAcentral lists this ribosomal RNA (459 nucleotides) under uncultured bacterium. RNAcentral describes it as "bacterial SSU rRNA". It matches the Rfam family "Bacterial small subunit ribosomal RNA", at positions 28 to 476 of the family's 1533-position model. The record is from RNAcentral.
GAUGAACGCUAGCGGCAGGCUUAAUACAUGCAAGUCGAGGGGCAGCAGUUUUGUAGCAAUACAGAAGCUGGCGACCGGCAAACGGGUGCGGAACACGUACGCAACCUUCCUUUAACUGGAAGAUAGCCCACCGAAAGGUGGAUUAAUACUCCAUAACAUAUUGAAGAGGCAUCUCUUUGAUAUUAAAGCUCCGGCGGUUAAAGAUGGGCGUGCGUCUGAUUAGGUAGUUGGCGGGGUAACGGCCCACCAAGCCUUCGAUCAGUAGCUGAUGUGAGAGCAUGAUCAGCCACACGGGCACUGAGACACGGGGCCCGACUCCUACGGGAGGCAGCAGUAAGGAAUAUUGGGUCCAAUGGACGCAAGUCUGAACCAGCCAUGCCGCGUGGAGGAUGAAGGCCCUCUGGGUUGUAAACUUCUUUUCUUUGGGACGAAACCCCUGUUUCUACGGGGACUGACGGU